UGUAGUAGUCUCUUCUACUCACUGCAAACUUUUUUUAAUGUUUAUUAAAUAUUUUAAUAAUUUAAUAGUUUAAAGUGAAUGCAACAUUUUUUAUUGACAAAUACAAGAUAAGUUUAUUUUUUAUAUCAUGUGGCAACUUCCUCAGUAUUUAAAAACACAAGUGAAAAAAACUAACAAAAUAGAUAUACUUUUAAUAUGAUACCCAAAUUAAAUAGUGCAAAUAUUUCAUUACUAUGUGAUGUCAACAUAAUUUCAAAAUCUUAGUAGAAUGAUUUUCUUUUCUUUCCUUUUUUUCUUUUUUCUUUUUCUUUUCUUUUUUCUUUUCUUUUCUUUCCUUUCUGUUUUUGUUUUUGUUUUUGUUUUUGUUUUCAAGUCAGGGUUUCUCUGUAUAGCCCUGGCUGUCCUGGAACUCACUCUGUAGACCAGGCUGGCCUCAUACUCAGAAAUCCGCUUGUCUCUGCCUCCCAAGUGCUCGGAUUAAAGGCAUGCACCAUCACUGCCCAGCAUGCAACCUUUCUAAGUAACAGAUUUUGGGAGGUCAUGCCAAUUCAUCCCCUUAGCAAAACAACUCACUUUGAAACUUCAACAAAGUAGAAUUCCAAGUGGUAGCCUUACCUGACACAGGUUCAGUAUACCCAGAGCACCAUGCCAGAGAUCUUCAUAUCUUCUCCUGAAAUAAGCUCUUUUGGAUAUCAUGGAGAGUAGCACACUGUCUCUUCUACAUCACUGUAUUUUUCCAAAUGAGAGUCCACUUUCUUACGCUUUUACUUAUUAUUCAAGUCUUCCAUGUUUUAAAUGGUUCAUACCAUAUCUAUGAUAAAUAUGUCUAGUGGUAGAAUAAAAUACACCUUCAAUCACCUCUUUUUGAAAGCUGUUUUUAGAUUAAUUUGAUAAAUAAAAGGAUUCUGUAAAUCUGCUAUUGUAGAGAUUAUUUAUAUUUAAAAAUGGCACUUAUUAAAGUGUAUAAGUCAGAUAAUUGCCAAUAGUGCUAUUAUUUUCUUCUUCAUUGAAAUAAAGAUCCAGUAAUUUUUCACGAUCUUCUGUUUAAAUGCAGCAUUUGUAUUUCAUUUUUAUCAAGGAUGCCUUCCAAUGAGAAAGUUAAAACACUAUCUUUAUUCUCUAUAUAUGUUUCAGGUAUUUCUCGAACAAGUACUAUUUACACCAUAUAUACUGCAAAUCGAAUUUCACUUUUUAUUAUAAUUCUGUACUGGAGAAGCCUAUAUUUUUGUGUUCUGACAUGUAGACUGGCUUUCAAAGUUACAGUAUACAUUUAUUUCCUAAGAGUUUGGAGUUCUUGGUAACAGAGUGUGCCUUAUUCGGGUAUUUUGUUUCUCUGAAGAUGAGAGAAAGUAAUAACAUUCUUCAGAAUGGCUGAGAAUCUCCUUAGCAUUCUAAGCUGGGGAGAGAAUCCUACAUCAGACUGAAAUAAAUAAUCAUUUUAUGUAUGCAAUCUUGGAUCAGUGUCUAAGGUAAAUGGUUGUAUCUGUUGAGUCCUGAAGCCUAUCCCACUUCUCAAAAUUGAUAUGUAUAUACAUUCAGCACACACACACAUCCUCCCCAACUUCAAUCACAAACUUAUGCACACAUGCAUACACAGAGACACACACAGUCACAAACAAAUAUGAGUAUACACACAGACAGACACAUACACACACAAGAAAUUUAUACAUAGAACUUUGUCUAUGAAGUAUUUCAGGAGACAAGAAAUCCAAGGGAACUGGCAGGCAAUUGCUGUAAAAACACCACU
This 1747-nucleotide long non-coding RNA is filed under the name Mus musculus (house mouse). Its description in RNAcentral is "long non-coding RNA chr5:19354030-19355777". The record is from RNAcentral. Lineage: Eukaryota; Metazoa; Chordata; Mammalia; Rodentia; Muridae.